GCUGCCUGACGUGGAUGCUCGUCUUCAAGAUUAAGCCAUGCACGUGUAAGUGACCCGGAAGGGGAACAGCGAACGGCUCAAUAAAGCAGUUUGGAUCGGAUUGGCAGAGAAAAACGGAUAACCGAGGGAAACUUCGGCUAAUACGGAAGACGCAGGCCUUAGGCGCGGAGGCGGGAGGCAAGAGCGGAGCGGGAGCGAGGCCAAGCGAGAGACUGUCCUAUCAGCAAGUAGGUAAGGUAGGGGCUUACCUAGGCGACGACGGGUGGCGGGGAAUUAGGGUUUGAUUCCGGAGAAGGAGGCUGAGAGACGGCUCCUAGAUCCAAGGAACGCAGCAGGCGCGAAACUUGCUCACUUCCCUCGGGGAGAAGCAGUGACGAGACAUACGAGCAAUCGAAAGGGCGCGGUGCAAAGAGCCGUGCGAACGCAACUGGAGGGCAAGUCUGGUGCCAGCUC
This 453-nucleotide ribosomal RNA is filed under the name Microsporidium sp. 5 DSG-2016. RNAcentral describes it as "partial small subunit ribosomal RNA". It matches the Rfam family "Microsporidia small subunit ribosomal RNA", at positions 13 to 399 of the family's 1311-position model. Lineage: Eukaryota; Fungi; Microsporidia. The record is from RNAcentral.